GCCGACCCAGCAGCGUUUACAUAGACCCAACCGGCUCCCGGGUUACUGUAAGCUCAAAAUGUGUGCACUGUCUCGAAGGGACAGAAGGGAGGUUUGGGGGGAGGGUAAUUUGCAUUCUCCUCUGGGAAGUUGGGGUAGCCUCUAGACUACAGCUCUCACUACUUCACCCCAAAGCAUCACCUGACUUCCGUCUAACACCCUUCCCAGACCACAGACCUUCACUUUGGGGGAUGAAGUUCGAGUCAUCUUUCCUGCCUCACCACACAGCUGAUGUCACCCCUAUGUCUAAGAACCUGGUAAUUCACACACCCACCAAGCCCUUUAGGAUACUGAUUAAUAACGGAUGGCUAAGAACCGGCUCCAUAGAGAAAAGAGGGGUGGUGUCUUCAGAGGAGGGCUAACGAAUCAUGCGCCAUAGUUUGCUGUUACUGUCUCGUAAAAAU
RNAcentral lists this long non-coding RNA (443 nucleotides) under Rattus norvegicus (Norway rat). RNAcentral's name for it is "long non-coding RNA NONRATT014977". The record is from RNAcentral. Lineage: Eukaryota; Metazoa; Chordata; Mammalia; Rodentia; Muridae.